Molecule: ribosomal RNA, 708 nt
Filed under: Stutzerimonas stutzeri
Lineage: Bacteria; Pseudomonadati; Pseudomonadota; Gammaproteobacteria; Pseudomonadales; Pseudomonadaceae
Description: bacterial SSU rRNA
Rfam family: Bacterial small subunit ribosomal RNA
Source: RNAcentral
GCCUAGGAAUCUGCCUGGUAGUGGGGGACAACGUUUCGAAAGGAACGCUAAUACCGCAUACGUCCUACGGGAGAAAGUGGGGGAUCUUCGGACCUCACGCUAUCAGAUGAGCCUAGGUCGGAUUAGCUAGUUGGUGAGGUAAAGGCUCACCAAGGCGACGAUCCGUAACUGGUCUGAGAGGAUGAUCAGUCACACUGGAACUGAGACACGGUCCAGACUCCUACGGGAGGCAGCAGUGGGGAAUAUUGGACAAUGGGCGAAAGCCUGAUCCAGCCAUGCCGCGUGUGUGAAGAAGGUCUUCGGAUUGUAAAGCACUUUAAGUUGGGAGGAAGGGCAGUAAGUUAAUACCUUGCUGUUUUGACGUUACCAACAGAAUAAGCACCGGCUAACUUCGUGCCAGCAGCCGCGGUAAUACGAAGGGUGCAAGCGUUAAUCGGAAUUACUGGGCGUAAAGCGCGCGUAGGUGGUUCGUUAAGUUGGAUGUGAAAGCCCCGGGCUCAACCUGGGAACUGCAUCCAAAACUGGCGAGCUAGAGUAUGGCAGAGGGUGGUGGAAUUUCCUGUGUAGCGGUGAAAUGCGUAGAUAUAGGAAGGAACACCAGUGGCGAAGGCGACCACCUGGGCUAAUACUGACACUGAGGUGCGAAAGCGUGGGGAGCAAAACAGGAUUAGAUACCCUGGUAGUCCACGCCGUAAACGAUGUCGACUA